UCCUGGUUUCCCAGGCAGUCCCGCCAAAGUGCUUUGCCCGAAGGCAAGUAGCAACUGGCAGCAAGGGUUGCGCUCGUUAAAGGACUUAACCCAACAUCUCACGACACGAGCUGACGACAGCCAUGCAGCACCUGUGCAAUUGCUUGAACCGAAGCUCAAGAAUCUGUAUUUCUACAUAGGUCAAAUGCAUGUCAAACCCAGGUAAGGUUCCUCGCGUAAUAUCGAAUUAAACCACAUGUUCCACCGCUUGUGCGGACCCCCGUCAAUUCAUUUGAGUUUUAACCUUGCGGCCGUACUCCCCAGGCGGAUUACUUAAUGCGUUAGCUCCGACACUGAGUCAGCAUAAAGCUAACCCAACGUCCAGUAAUCAUCGUUUACGGCGUGGACUAC
This 390-nucleotide unclassified non-coding RNA is filed under the name uncultured bacterium. RNAcentral's name for it is "contains 16S-23S intergenic spacer region". The record is from RNAcentral.